ACCGGCAGCUCGAGUGGUCGUCGCUUUUAUUGGGCCUAAAACGUCCGUAGCCUGUUUGGUAAAUCUGUGGGUAAAUCAACGAGCUCAACUCGUUGAAUUCUGCAGAGACUGCCAGACUAGGGACCGGGAGAGGUAUGAGGUACUCUGGGGGUAGGGGUAAAAUCCUGUCAUCCUCAGAGGACCACCUGUUGCGAAGGCGUCAUACUGGAACGGAUCCGACGGUCAGGGACGAAGCCUAGGGGCACGAACCGG
This 252-nucleotide ribosomal RNA is filed under the name uncultured bacterium. RNAcentral describes it as "partial 16S ribosomal RNA". It matches the Rfam family "Archaeal small subunit ribosomal RNA", at positions 475 to 727 of the family's 1478-position model. The record is from RNAcentral.